Schistocerca americana (American grasshopper) is the source of this 294-nucleotide long non-coding RNA. RefSeq lists it as uncharacterized. The record is from RefSeq and is a predicted model, not a curated record. The transcript is spliced from 2 exons. NCBI's taxonomy places the organism in Eukaryota, Metazoa, Arthropoda, Insecta, Orthoptera, Acrididae.
UACUUGCAACCCUUUGUGGUAAAGAUGCAAAAUUGUUAAUGUUCAAUUGUAUGAAACGAUGCCUGACAUCAGAGAUAGGAAUGAAGUUUUCAUAUACAGGAAGGCCUCCAAAAGACAAGACGAAAGAAAGGAAAAGAGCUUUCUGUUCAACCAUGCUUUGUGCAGCAAUUCAAAGACCAUUAUACCGGCAGAAGCCAGUGAUUUUUGAUCCUGCUUUGGUCUGUGUGCUGGGGCCGGAGGGGCUUCCGAAUAAUUAAAUUUUAAACAGUUUGAAAAUAAAAAAUUUUAAAGAUA